UCUUAGAUAAAUCAUCCACAUUAUAUUUCAAUCUUUCAAAUCUAUCACAUGGAUUAUCAGGACUUAGAUUUUAUUUAAUUAAAUAUACUGAUGCAUUAACUUCUACUUAUUCAGAGGGGUCAGUUCUAUCUUGACUCACGCACCGACUUGAUAAAUACUUGACUUCAUUCAGAAACCUUCCAUCACUGAAUUAAAAAUUCAGAUAGUCCGGCACCAAAGUAUAGUGAGUUGCUGGUAAGUCACGUGAUGAUCUCA
This 255-nucleotide long non-coding RNA is filed under the name Elaeis guineensis (African oil palm). RNAcentral's name for it is "long non-coding RNA (EGUI_LNC078628)". The record is from RNAcentral. Lineage: Eukaryota; Viridiplantae; Streptophyta; Magnoliopsida; Arecales; Arecaceae.